RNAcentral lists this ribosomal RNA (429 nucleotides) under Bacillota bacterium. RNAcentral describes it as "Firmicutes bacterium partial 16S ribosomal RNA". It matches the Rfam family "Bacterial small subunit ribosomal RNA", at positions 355 to 776 of the family's 1533-position model. Lineage: Bacteria; Bacillati; Bacillota. The record is from RNAcentral.
UGGGGAAUUUUGGACAAUGGGGGCAACCCUGAUCCAGCAAUGCCGCGUGUGUGAAGAAGGCCUUCGGGUUGUAAAGCACUUUUGUCCGGAAAGAAAGCAUCCCUGUUAAUACCGGGGGUGGAUGACGGUACCGGAAGAAUAAGCACCGGCUAACUACGUGCCAGCAGCCGCGGUAAUACGUAGGGUGAGAGCGUUAAUCGGAAUUACUGGGCGUAAAGCGUGCGCAGGCGGUGAUGUAAGACCGAUGUGAAAUCCCCGGGCUUAACCUGUGAACUGCAUUGGUGACUUCAUCGCUAGAGUAUGGCAGAGGGGGGUGGAAUUCCACGUGUAGCAGUGAAAUGCGUAGAGAUGUGGAGGAACACCGAUGGCGAAGGCAGCCCCCUGGGCCAAUACUGACGCUCAUGCACGAAAGCGUAGGGAGCAAACAGG